AUCAACGGACUCCGGCAGGUCCUCGUUAUCGUCGGCGUGGUACCUGGCGCUGAGCUUCCUCUCCCUCUGCGGCUUGGUCCUGACGCCGAGGUAGGUGGCGCGGUACUCUUCGUUGGUGAGGUCGGCGAAGCGGUUGAGCCCCAGGCGGAAGGAGUGGACGCCCGCGUCGGCGGCGGCGUUGUGCUCGUCGAUGAUGCGGAGGUUGUCCCUGAACACCUGAUACCGCCUCUCCUCCUCGCCGAUGGCGUUGUAGGUCCGGCCGUGCGUCGCCAUCCACUCCGCGUACAUCCGCCGCGUCUCCUCCUCGCUCCGCUCCCCGUAGGAGAUGAUCGACAUGUCCGCCGCCGCGGCGAGCGACACGAGCAGCAGCAGCGCUGCCGCCGCCGCCGCCAGCGACGUGGU
Molecule: long non-coding RNA, 402 nt
Filed under: Sorghum bicolor (sorghum)
Lineage: Eukaryota; Viridiplantae; Streptophyta; Magnoliopsida; Poales; Poaceae
Description: long non-coding RNA (SBIC_LNC011466)
Source: RNAcentral